This 517-nucleotide ribosomal RNA is filed under the name uncultured organism. RNAcentral's name for it is "bacterial SSU rRNA". It matches the Rfam family "Bacterial small subunit ribosomal RNA", at positions 96 to 646 of the family's 1533-position model. The record is from RNAcentral.
UGGCAAACGGGCUAGUACACGUGGGAAUCUACCCCAAAGUAGGGAUACCCGGAGAAAUCCGGGAGUGUACCUAAUGUGCUCUUCGGAGUAAAGAUUUAUCGCUUUGGGAGGAGCCCGCGCACUAUCAGCUUGUUGGUGAGGUAAUAGCUCACCAAGGCUAUGACGGUUAGGGGGUGUGAGAGCAUGACCCCCAGCAUUGGCACUGAGACACUGGCCAAACACCUACGGGUGGCUGCAGUCGAGAAUCUUUCACAAUGGGCGAAAGCCUGAUGAAGCGACGCUGCGUGCAGGAUGAAGGCCUUCGGGUUGUAAACUGCUUUUAUAGGGGAUGAAUCUUUGAUGACAGUACCCUAAGAAUAAGAGGUUGCUAACUCUGUGCCAGCAGCAGCGGUAAUACAGAGACCUCAAGCGUUAUCCGGAUUUACUGGGCGUACAGCGUCUGUAGGGGGUUUGUCAAGUUCCAAGUAAAAUCUUAAGGCCCACCUUUACGUUCGCUUGGAAAACUGAUAAACUGGAG